Molecule: ribosomal RNA, 668 nt
Filed under: Dothideomycetes sp. A1043
Lineage: Eukaryota; Fungi; Ascomycota; Dothideomycetes
Description: SSU rRNA
Rfam family: Bacterial small subunit ribosomal RNA
Source: RNAcentral
AUUGAUGUUGUCAAAGAAAGUUCUAAAUAGAUAAUUGAUAAUGACAAACUUCUAUUUAUAUGUCUUGACCAAAUCUUGUGCCAGCAGUCGCGGCAAUACAAGUAAGACUAGUGUUAUUCAUCUUUAUUAGGUUUAAAGGGUACCUAGACUGUUAUACUAACCUGAUAAAGGUAUGGUAUCUCUAGAGUUUUAUGUAAGAGGUAAAUUUGAGUGCUAUUGGUGUAGAGAUGAAAUAUUUUGAUACUUAUAGAACAGAUAAAGGCGAAGACAAUCCUCUAUGUAAAAACUGACGUUGAGGGACGAAGGCUUGGGGAGCAAAAAGGAUUAGAUACCCUAGUAGUCCAGGCAGAAAAUUAUGAGUGCUAUACAGUAAAUAGUUAAGUUUAUGUAUAAAUUAAAGUGUAAGCAUUCCACCUCAAGAGUAAUGCGGCAACGCAGAAACUGAAAUCAUUAGACCGUUUCUGAAACCAGUAGUGAAGUAUGUUAUUUAAUUCGAUGAUCCUCGAAAAACCUUACCACAAUUUGAAUAGUACUAAUUUUGUUAAAAGAAUAAUAUUAAGUUCUAAUCUAAUUAAUAAAGAGGUAUUACAAGUGUUGCACGGCUGUCUUUAGUUAAUGUCGUGAGACGUUGGUUAGAUUCAUUAAAUUAACGUAAACCCUUGCUUUAU